GACGAACGCUGGCGGCGUGCCUAAUACAUGCAAGUUGAGCGCUGAAGGUUGGUACUUGUACCAACUGGAUGAGCAGCGAACGGGUGAGUAACGCGUGGGGAAUCUGCCUUUGAGCGGGGGACAACAUUUGGAAACGAAUGCUAAUACCGCAUAAAAACUUUAAACACAAGUUUUAAGUUUGAAAGAUGCAAUUGCAUCACUCAAAGAUGAUCCCGCGUUGUAUUAGCUAGUUGGUGAGGUAAAGGCUCACCAAGGCGAUGAUACAUAGCCGACCUGAGAGGGGGGUCGGCCACGUUGGGACUGAGACACGGCCCAAACUCCUACGGGAGGCAGCAGUAGGGAAUCUUCGGCAAUGGACGAAAGUCUGACCGAGCAACGCCGCGUGAGUGAAGAAGGGUUUCGGAUCGUAAAACUCUGUUGGUAGAGAAGAACGUUGGUGAGAGUGGAAAGCUCAUCAAGUGACGGUAACUACCCAGAAAGGGACGGCUAACUACGUG
RNAcentral lists this ribosomal RNA (497 nucleotides) under uncultured bacterium. RNAcentral describes it as "partial 16S ribosomal RNA". It matches the Rfam family "Bacterial small subunit ribosomal RNA", at positions 28 to 507 of the family's 1533-position model. The record is from RNAcentral.